This 290-nucleotide unclassified non-coding RNA is filed under the name plant metagenome. RNAcentral describes it as "partial contains small subunit ribosomal RNA, internal transcribed spacer 1, and 5.8S ribosomal RNA". The stretch from base 243 to 290 matches the Rfam family "5.8S ribosomal RNA", at positions 1 to 49 of the family's 154-position model. The record is from RNAcentral.
UUUCCGUAGGUGACCUGCGGAAGGAUCAUUAAUGAGUUGUCAUGGGGUUCGAUGCUGGCAGCCAGUUUUUGGAUGCAUGUGCUUGCCCUAACAAUCAUCUUCUUCCAAACACCUGUGCACAUUUUUGAGGGAGUCUUGAGUUGGUUGCCGCUCUUGGGUGAUUUUCUCACAUUCCCUUAAAUCAUUAUACGCUAUUAACAAUGUUGAACGUGCUCUGUGCCGCAAGGCCAUUAAUAUAAUACAACUUUUAACAACGGAUCUCUUGGCUCUCGCAUCGAUGAAGAACGAGC